RNAcentral lists this ribosomal RNA (494 nucleotides) under uncultured bacterium. RNAcentral describes it as "partial 16S ribosomal RNA". It matches the Rfam family "Bacterial small subunit ribosomal RNA", at positions 28 to 507 of the family's 1533-position model. The record is from RNAcentral.
GACGAACGCUGGCGGCGCGCUUAACACAUGCAAGUCGAACGGAAAGGCCUGCUUUCCCUUGUGGAUUGCGGGUACUCGAGUGGCGAACGGGUGAGUAACACGUGAGUGAUCUGCCCCCAACUUGGGUAUAAGCCUGGGAAACUGGGUCUAAUUCCCGAUAGGACUGCAGGGUGGUGCCUGUGGUGGAAAACGAUUUUCUAGUGGUUGGGGAUGAGCUCGCGGCCUAUCAGCUUGUUGGUGGGGUAAUGGCCUACCAAGGCGGCGACGGGUAGCCGGCCUGGGAGGGUGGACGGCCACAUUGGGACUGGGAUACGGCCCAGACUCCUACGGGAGGCAGCAGUGGGGAAUAUUGCACCAUGGGCGGAAGCCUGAUGCAGCGACGCCGCGUGGGGGAUGACGGCCUUCGGGUUGUAAACUCCUUUCGACCGCGAGGAAGCCACCUGGUUGGAAGGGUGGUGACGGUAGUGGUAGAAGAAGCACCGGCUAGCUACGUG